AGAGUUUGAUCCUGGCUCAGAAUGAACGCUGGCGGCGUGCUUAACACAUGCAAGUCGAACGGUAACAGAGUAGCUUGCUACUGCUGACGAGUGGCGCACGGGUGAGUAAUGUAUAGGUAAUCUGCCUCUUAGACUGGGAUAGCCACUGGAAACGGUGAUUAAUACUAGAUACUCCUUCUUGAUACUUUCAAGUUGGGAAACGUUUUUCGCUAAGAGAUGAGCCUAUAUUGUAUCAGUUAGUUGGUGAGGUAAUGGCUCACCAAGACUAUGACACAUAGCUGAUUUGAGAGGAUGAUCAGCCACACUGGUACUGAGACACGGACCAGACUCCUACGGGAGGCAGCAGUGAGGAAUAUUGCACAAUGGAGGAAACUCUGAUGCAGCAACGCCGCGUGGAGGAUGACGCAUUUCGGUGUGUAAACUCCUUUUAUAAGAGAAGAAAAUGACGGUAUCUUAUGAAUAAGCACCGGCUAACUCCGUGCCAGCAGCCGCGGUAAUACGGAGGGUGCAAGCGUUAUUCGGAAUCACUGGGCGUAAAGGACGCGUAGGCGGGUUGCUAAGUCUGAUGUGAAAUCCUAUGGCUCAA
RNAcentral lists this ribosomal RNA (586 nucleotides) under uncultured bacterium. Its description in RNAcentral is "bacterial SSU rRNA". It matches the Rfam family "Bacterial small subunit ribosomal RNA", at positions 8 to 612 of the family's 1533-position model. The record is from RNAcentral.